Molecule: non-coding RNA, 20 nt
Filed under: Arabidopsis thaliana (thale cress)
Lineage: Eukaryota; Viridiplantae; Streptophyta; Magnoliopsida; Brassicales; Brassicaceae
Source: RNAcentral
CCCUCUAGACCUAGCUGCUG